UUCUGAAGCUCUGUGCGCUUUUCGCGGGUGUGCUGCUCUAGCGAGGCUGUGUUACGGUGACAUAAUAGGACGACAAUAGUUGCGGCUCAAACACGUUGUUGCGAAACUGCGUCGCUGACGAAAUAUACGUUUGAACAAUAGCGGGUCUAGCACCAGAUACGUUCCUGUGUUUCUGAAUGCUUUCCCAAGGAAGAAGUCACACACCGUGCCGCGAGAUGCUUCAUACGGGCAAAUUCUCCGGACAACCGGAAGUUCUGUCAGUGUUGCUGAGAAGGAUGUCGGGCUUAAGAGAAUUUUCAGCAAAAACUUGCGUGACCCUUUCUGUGGCAUAUGUAGCUGAGAGUGCGGCAGCUCCGGAACUCAGAAGACCCAGUAUCUUAAGUGACUCGGGCUUCUCAAAUGCCCCUCCACAAGGAGCGAAGCGCGCUGUUGCAGGCCGGGGGAAGUUAGAUGUAGGCAGUAUCAUGCACUACAGAAAUAGUAACGAGAUGGCAGUCAUCCACAAACGGAGGUACACUCUACAGAUUCGCUGGUGGAAAAGGAGGAAAGCGGAUCAGUGAUGUGGCGUAACCAUCGCGACGGGGCGGUAAGAUGACUAACCCUUUGACCUACCACUCGUUCACGCCACGGCGUGAACGUGCACCCAAGCUAGACGGCUGCACCGCUCUGGGCGCACAUGUAUGUCCGGAUGGAAGUGGGGAGACAAUUAUUAUCGGGCGUAUCCCGCCAAGGCAGGUGUUCGAGGGCGUGUCAACCGUUUUAACAAGACAGGGCAUCCGCGCUGUACCCUUAUUUUGAGAGCGUGACGCUCCCACAAUGGAUCUGUUCUGUACGGUAGCUCUAAGUCCUUCGGUCGUUGUACUUUGACGUACUGGCAAGCGAGGCUAGGAUGCGCUGCUGUGUGCUCUGUCGAAGUCUUCCUAGGCACAAGCUAGGGAACCAUGCAACCAGCUAUUCACCUAAGGGAUGUUAUGAUGCAUGCUCCAAACGCGUGUAUCCAGUAAAAAUAUUGUUGCGUGGCCGGAUCAGGCUGUCGGUACGCGACCACGCGUUC
Molecule: long non-coding RNA, 1054 nt
Filed under: Toxoplasma gondii VEG
Lineage: Eukaryota; Apicomplexa; Conoidasida; Eucoccidiorida; Sarcocystidae
Source: RNAcentral